RNAcentral lists this ribosomal RNA (377 nucleotides) under uncultured bacterium. RNAcentral describes it as "bacterial SSU rRNA". It matches the Rfam family "Bacterial small subunit ribosomal RNA", at positions 790 to 1167 of the family's 1533-position model. The record is from RNAcentral.
GUAGUCCACGCCGUAAACGUUGGGCACUAGGUGUGGGCUCUAACCAACGGAGUCCGUGCCGUCGCUAACGCAUUAAGUGCCCCGCCUGGGGAGUACGGCCGCAAGGUUAAAACUCAAAGGAAUUGACGGGGCCCCGCACAAGCAGCGGAGCGUGUUGCUUAAUUCGAUGCGACGCGAAGAACCUUACCUGGGCUUGACAUGCAGGGAAAAGCCGCAGAGAUGCGGUGUCCUUCGGGGCCUUGCACAGGUGGUGCAUGGCUGUCGUCAGCUCGUGUCGUGAGAUGUUGGGUUAAGUCCCGCAACGAGCGCAACCCUUUUCCUAUGUUGCCAGCGGGUUAUGCCGGGGACUCGUAGGAGACUGCCGGGGUCAACUCGGA